AUGAGUGAUCCAGCUACGAAUUCUUCAACUGUGGCAGGGAGCGAUCUUGUCGUAAAACCCGCCUCCCUGGUGACCAAGCCCGCUUCUUUAACCACAUCAACAGGCACCCCCGAAGUGGACAAGAAGAGGUCAUCGGGAGCUAUCAAUGACAAAGAUGUUGGGAUAACUGCAAAGAAGCCAAGGACGUCUGCUUGCGAUGUCUCCAGCAAAUCAAAUAAUCUAGAAGGCUUUUAUUCCCCCGAGGCAAAGGAACUCCGUGUAUUAAUUGAGCAACACCAGAAUAUCCUUGCUGGAGAAAACACUCUGCUCGAGAAGCUCAAAGUCCCUCCAACGAGUAACAUAUCAACGCCAAGCCUUGUUCUCCCGCCCGGAAUAGCAGCAAAGUACAUCUCAAUAGGACUCAAGGAUAUCCAAGAGGCGCUAAGGGAGCAGCCGAUCAAUAAGGAGCUAACCAUAACUAAAAUCGAGUCUGUGAUAAGUAUGUGGAAGAUCUCGUAUGCGAACGAGGUCCCGCCAGACCUUGAGAUUCUGAUUCGACACCUUGAAGCAGUGGUGGCUCGUUUGGGCGGAAAAGGUGGUCUUGCCACUUCCCACACAUCGGAACCCGCGCCGGCGCAAGUGUCAUCUCUGUUGGAGAAACUCGAUGCAGCCCAUGCGGGGAUCACUCAAGGACUUUGCCGCCUCGAGAAGGAAGGGCCGCGCCUAGAGGGGCGCCUUGCCAACCUCGCCUCCAUCUGCAACAGGCAAAAGAAGUUGGCCGAAGAACAUCGGAUGCUUUCCGGCAAACAUCAGCAGCUUGCCAAGGAGUACAAGGCCCUCUGCGAGAAGGAAACCGAGAUGGCAGCACUGGCUGAAAAGCGAACGUGCGUCCUAGCUGACAUGAUGACUUCUAGCUCCUGCCAUCUUGAAGCUCAUGAGGAUGCAGUACGGAGUUCGUCACAGGUGGCCGAGUCAUACACAAGACGCCGUGCGGAGGCGGUUGCCUUCCUGGCCGGCGGCGGAACGCUUCCGGAGAUCGCGACGAUCCUAGCAUAUAAAGCUCCUGAGUGA
Molecule: ribosomal RNA, 1050 nt
Filed under: Triticum aestivum (bread wheat)
Lineage: Eukaryota; Viridiplantae; Streptophyta; Magnoliopsida; Poales; Poaceae
Description: partial small subunit ribosomal RNA
Source: RNAcentral